GGGGGCAACCCUGGCGGCGAGCGGCGAACGGGUGAGUAAUACAUCGGAACGUACCCAGGAGUGGGGGAUAACACAUCGAAAGAUGUGCUAAUACCGCAUACGCCCUGAGGGGGAAAGCGGGGGAUCGCAAGACCUCGCGCUGUUGGAGCGGCCGAUGUCGGAUUAGCUAGUUGGUAGGGUAAAGGCCUACCAAGGCGACGAUCCGUAGCUGGUCUGAGAGGAUGAUCAGCCACACUGGGACUGAGACACGGCCCAGACUCCUACGGGAGGCAGCAGUGGGGAAUUUUGGACAAUGGGGGCAACCCUGAUCCAGCCAUUCCGCGUGAGUGAAGAAGGCCUUCGGGUUGUAAAGCUCUUUCGGCAGGAACGAAACGGCGGGCUCUAACAUAGCCUGUCAAUGACGGUACCUGAAGAAGAAGCACCGGCUAACUACGUGCCAGCAGCCGCGGUAAUACGUAGGGUGCGAGCGUUAAUCGGAAUUACUGGGCGUAAAGCGUGCGCAGGCGGUUUUGUAAGACAGCUGUGAAAUCCCCGGGCUUAACCUGGGAACUGCGGUUGUGACUGCAAGACUAGAGUGCGGCAGAGGGGGGUGGAAUUCCACGUGUAGCAGUGAAAUGCGUAGAGAUGUGGAGGAACACCGAUGGCGAAGGCAGCCCCCUGGGUUGACACUGACGCUCAUGCACGAAAGCGUGGGUAGCAAACAGGAUUAGAUACCCUGGUAGUCCACGCCCUAAACGAUGCCAACUAGGUGUUGGGGAAGGAGACUUCCUUAGUACCGUAGCUAACGCGUGAAGUUGGCCGCCUGGGGAGUACGGUCGCAAGAUUAAAACUCAAAGGAAUUGACGGGGACCCGCACAAGCGGUGGAUGAUGUGGAUUAAUUCGAUGC
This 887-nucleotide ribosomal RNA is filed under the name uncultured bacterium. RNAcentral describes it as "bacterial SSU rRNA". It matches the Rfam family "Bacterial small subunit ribosomal RNA", at positions 75 to 957 of the family's 1533-position model. The record is from RNAcentral.